GACGAACGCUGGCGGCGUGCUUAACACAUGCAAGUCGAACGGAAAGGCCCUGCUUUUGUGGGGUGCUCGAGUGGCGAACGGGUGAGUAACACGUGAGUAACCUGCCCUUGACUUUGGGAUAACUUCAGGAAACUGGGGCUAAUACCGGAUAGGAGCUCCUGCUGCAUGGUGGGGGUUGGAAAGUUUCGGCGGUUGGGGAUGGACUCGCGGCUUAUCAGCUUGUUGGUGGGGUAGUGGCUUACCAAGGCUUUGACGGGUAGGCGGCCUGAGAGGGGGACCGGCCACAAUGGGACUGAGGGACGGCCCAGACUCCUAAGGGGGGCAACGGGGGGGAAUAUUGGCCAAUGGGCGGAAGCCUGAUGCAGCAACGCCGCGUGCGGGAUGACGGCCUUCGGGUUGUAAACCGCUUUCGCCUGUGACGAAGCGUGAGUGACGGUAAUGGGUAAAGAAGCACCGGCUAACUACGUG
RNAcentral lists this ribosomal RNA (468 nucleotides) under uncultured bacterium. RNAcentral's name for it is "partial 16S ribosomal RNA". It matches the Rfam family "Bacterial small subunit ribosomal RNA", at positions 28 to 507 of the family's 1533-position model. The record is from RNAcentral.